UGAAGACGACGAGGUUGAUAGGUUCGGGGUGGAAGCACAGCAAUGUGUGGAGCUGACGAAUACUAAUCGGUCGAGGGCUUAUCCUAA
This 87-nucleotide ribosomal RNA is filed under the name Paenibacillus sp. Soil522. RNAcentral describes it as "partial 23S ribosomal RNA". It matches the Rfam family "Bacterial large subunit ribosomal RNA", at positions 2839 to 2925 of the family's 2925-position model. Lineage: Bacteria; Bacillati; Bacillota; Bacilli; Caryophanales; Paenibacillaceae. The record is from RNAcentral.